Long non-coding RNA from Anopheles stephensi (Asian malaria mosquito), 1026 nucleotides. RefSeq lists it as uncharacterized. The record is from RefSeq and is a predicted model, not a curated record. Lineage: Eukaryota; Metazoa; Arthropoda; Insecta; Diptera; Culicidae. The transcript has 2 exons.
GUUCAUCGUUAGUGGGGAGAGCUAGACAAUUUUCUGAGGGAUGUUUUUGGGGACACAGAAAGGAUAUAUGAAGAACACAAGUGGUGUGUGUGUGUGUAUGUGUGAACAAAGCAACAAAGAACACCGCACAAAACGCACGUUUCGUUUUUCAAUAACACAAACCUUUGGCAUUUGGAUCCGAUGAAUGCUGCAAUGAUGUUGCAGAGCUCGCAGGCGGAUGGUUUUCCAUACUGCUUCACGUUCGCUUCACACUUCCGGCAGAUCGCGGACGUGCUGCCCUUGGUCGUUUGCUGGAACUCCGAGCGGCAGUAAGUACACUUGACCACCGGGAACGAACCGCGACAAUCCUACCGGGGAGAGAAAGGAAAACAUUAGUAGCUGCAAGCUUUUCUCGUCGAUCGCGAUCAAGAACGCUCUUUGCUUCGCUCUCUUUCUCGCAUAUACGCUCCCACAAGCACGCACGCACACACACACAACCACGUCCAUGCUAUGACGCUUUCACACAUAGCGAUUUUUUACCACUUGGCAGUGGUGAAAAUUGCAUUGCUCGCGUUUAUGCGUUCGCUGAGGCGUAAUUAAUAAGAAUGCACCUCCCAGCGCUGCCUCCCGUGACACCGUACACAAUGAAAAAUUAAGCAUUUUAACUGAUUCACGUCACACACACACAUCUCAUUAGGAUGCCAUUUUCCUCGAUCCGGUUGGCGUCAUAUUUACUUUCACGUAGUGGUGCCCUUGCCGCACCUGCCUUAACCGCGAGUCCACUGCGUGCCGGAAUCUUUUCGCAAAACGGUUGAUCGUCACAUUUUCACAAGCCAAAACCUCAGCGUUGCUCAAACAAGUGGGCCAACUGUACACCGUCGAAGGAAAACGCAUACGUUACCUUGCAAAGCUGCUGGCCCGGAGACAACUCCUCGAACGGGUGGCGUGAGAAGCAUUUGGAGCAGGCAAACAACAUCACGGCACCGCUCAUCGUUUUUGCCAGGGUCUGCAACCUAAAAAUCACACACGACGAAUAAACGGACGAAA